Molecule: non-coding RNA, 74 nt
Organism: Scomber japonicus (chub mackerel)
Lineage: Eukaryota; Metazoa; Chordata; Actinopteri; Scombriformes; Scombridae
Source: the annotation of a RefSeq genome assembly
GGGGGUUAUAGCUCAGCGGUAGAGCAUUUUGACUGCAGAUCAAGAGGUCUCCGGUUCAAGUCCGGAUGCCCCCU